AUUGAACGCUGGCGGCAUGCUUUACACAUGCAAGUCGAACGGUAACAGGCCUUCGGGUGCUGACGAGUGGCGAACGGGGGAGUAAUGCAUCGGAACGUACCCCGAGGUUGUGGGUAACGCAGCGAAAGCGGUGCUAAUACCGCAUGUGAUCUGAGGAUUAAAGCGGGGGGCCGAGCAGCAAUGUUUGGCUUCGCGCCUUUGGAACGGCCGAUGUCGGAUUAGCUAGUUGGUGAGGUAACGGCCUACCAAGGCGACGAUCCGUAGCUGAUCUGAGAGGACGAUCAGCCACACUGGAACUGAGACACGGCCCAGACUCCUACGGGAGGCAGCAGUGGGGAAUCUUGGACAAUGGGCGCAAGCCUGACCGAGCAACGCCGCGUGAGUGAAGAAGGCCUUCGGGUUGUAAACCUCUUUUAGCCGGAACGAAAAGGUGUGCGCGAAUACCGGGCGGUAAUGACGGUACCUGAACAAUAAGCCCCGGCUAACUACGUG
RNAcentral lists this ribosomal RNA (492 nucleotides) under uncultured bacterium. RNAcentral's name for it is "partial 16S ribosomal RNA". It matches the Rfam family "Bacterial small subunit ribosomal RNA", at positions 30 to 507 of the family's 1533-position model. The record is from RNAcentral.